UACGUAGGGGGCGAGCGUUGUCCGGAUUUACUGGGUGUAAAGGGAGCGCAGACGGCAGUGCAAGUCUGAUGUGAAAGCCCGGGGCUCAACCCCGGAACUGCAUUGGAAACUGUACAGCUUGAGUGUCGGAGAGGUAAGCGGAAUUCCUAGUGUAGCGGUGAAAUGCGUAGAUAUUAGGAGGAACACCGGUGGCGAAGGCGGCUUACUGGACGAUUACUGACGUUGAGGCUCGAAAGCGUGGGGAGCAAACAGGAUUAGAUACCCUGGUAGUCCCU
This 275-nucleotide ribosomal RNA is filed under the name uncultured prokaryote. RNAcentral describes it as "partial 16S ribosomal RNA". It matches the Rfam family "Bacterial small subunit ribosomal RNA", at positions 524 to 798 of the family's 1533-position model. The record is from RNAcentral.